This is a long non-coding RNA of Hyla sarda, 849 nucleotides long. RefSeq lists it as uncharacterized. The transcript has 3 exons. The record is from RefSeq and is a predicted model, not a curated record. NCBI's taxonomy places the organism in Eukaryota, Metazoa, Chordata, Amphibia, Anura, Hylidae.
GAAGAAGGUGAAGAUGAUGAAGAAGAACAAAGUCACCAUCUCUUUCAUAACUGGUUAAUGGCGGCAUCACAGUACUUUGUGAAGAAUCAACAGGAUGAAGAGCAGAGUGGAGAGGAGAGUACAGAUGAGGAGAGUGGAGAGGAGAAUACAGAUGAGGAGAGUGGAGAGGAGAAUACGGAUGAGGAAUUAAAAGAACAGGAAUCCUAAAAAAGCAAUGAAGAACUAUGUGGCCAAGAUGAAGGGACUGAAAAUAAAAGAUUAGAACAUUGCCAUCAAAAAGCAAGUGAAGGAGGCCAAAAACAUCAUAGCUAUGAAGGCCACAAACAUCAAGGUUAAGGAGGCAAAAACUAUCUUGGCGAAACAGACCCAAAGCAUCAAGCACGUCAAAAACAUUGUGGUAGAAAAAAACUAAAAAUAUCAAGAGUCCGGAAUCUUUUAGCUGGUUUCGUCAAAAACUGGACAAUUUCUGGGAUAAGUUCUGGAAUUCAGGAAGGUCAACACCGGCCACAAUAGUUGUGAUGGGAACAACCAUCAUCACAUCACCUUGGUUCUAGGUUUUGAGCUAUUUAUCUACAUUUUCCAUGUUUUUACAUCAGAUUAUAAGCUCCUCUUCUUCUAUAGCGUCAGCUGGAGACAUCAUAUCAUAUAUACAUUGUGGUGCACCAGCUUAUCUGAUAUCUGCAGCUCUGUACAAUGUUCUAGGCCAAUAGUAAAGAUCAGAGAGAAUCACAGAACGUAAUGUUAUAGAAUUGUCCAAGACUCUAGAAUCCCAGGAACUGUAUUCAUAGUACAUUUAAUAUUGUUUUGUUUUUUUCACUUAUAGUUAUAAGGAGCAUCCUGAAUAUGAGA